This 497-nucleotide ribosomal RNA is filed under the name uncultured bacterium. RNAcentral's name for it is "partial 16S ribosomal RNA". It matches the Rfam family "Bacterial small subunit ribosomal RNA", at positions 28 to 507 of the family's 1533-position model. The record is from RNAcentral.
GAUGAACGCUGGCGGCGUGCCUAAUACAUGCGAGUCGAGCGAACGGACGAGAAGCUUGCUUUUCUGAUGUUAGCGGCGGACGGGUGAGUAACACGUGGAUAACCUACCUAUAAGACUGGGAUAACUUCGGGAAACCGGAGCUAAUACCGGAUAAUAUUUUGAACCGCAUGGUUCAAAAGUGAAAGACGGCCUUGCUGUCACUUAUAGAUGGAUCCGCGCUGCAUUAGCUAGUUGGUAAGGUAACGGCUUACCAAGGCAACGAUGCAUAGCCGACCUGAGAGGGUGAUCGGCCACACUGGAACUGAGACACGGUCCAGACUCCUACGGGAGGCAGCAGUAGGGAAUCUUCCGCAAUGGGCGAAAGCCUGACGGAGCAACGCCGCGUGAGUGAUGAAGGUCUUCGGAUCGUAAAACUCUGUUAUUAGGGAAGAACAUAUGUGUAAGUAACUGUGCACAUCUUGACGGUACCUAAUCAGAAAGCCACGGCUAACUACGUG